Molecule: non-coding RNA, 6684 nt
Organism: Delphinapterus leucas (beluga whale)
Lineage: Eukaryota; Metazoa; Chordata; Mammalia; Artiodactyla; Monodontidae
Source: RefSeq, a predicted model, not a curated record
CCCCCGGCUCCAGGAGGCCCUGUGCAGUGAGCGGUGCGGCGCCGGGGCUGAGGCGCAGGCAAGGGUAUCUGUACCGCAGCUUCUUGAUGAGCUCCUCAGGGGCGAUGAAGGUCCUGUAGGUGGUCAAGAAGGCCUCGCAGUACAACACGAGAUCUGGAGGGAAGGGCAGCUGGUCAGUGAGGCCUGCCACCGGCACAGGGCACAGACAGGCAGCACACCCGCUGCAAGCACAUGCCACUUCUGAUCACACAGAGAGCACAUUCAAACUCAUCAUCGGGACUCUGAAGCUAAGGCACAGGGAACACUUCAGGUGGCAGAAGCCCAGGAACAAAAACCUUGGGAAUCUCCACAUAGCGAGAGACCUAAGCAAAGGCCGAAGGGGCUCAGCCUCACGCUGCUGGACACUCAGGUGUGCAGGCUCUGGUGUCAGGGGAGGGCAAGGCCCACUGGGAGGAGGCCAGCCUGGAAGUCAAGUGGGAUUAGGGCUGGCAGCUCCCACCCAACGCCUCUCCUUCCCUUUGCAGCGGCUGGUUCUAGCCAGGGAUUCCCAACCUUUCCACGUUCACAACAGAGCCCUGUUUAUUUAUGGCUAUGACACACCCUCCCAACCACGCAGCCUCCGACACUAAGGAAAAAAGGGGGGGCAUGUUUUAAAUGCAAGUCCCUCCUGGAGACAAAUGACCUGGCCAGGCUUGUGAACUUCAGAGUUAUUCUGUGCUGGAGCUGAGGUUCGAGUCCUGAUUCGGCUCCAAAGUCUGUGGCCCUCACCGUGAAGCUGGGCACAUGCACACACAUUACUUAAGUGUUCUUUUCUGGACACAGACCACCUUCCCCUGUCUUCUCUCAUUCCUCCCACGACUCAUCGGGUGGAGGAACCUCAAGGACCCCACUUCUCCGGCUGGGCAGCCCCGCCCUGCAGAGCCCGGCUCCUGUCCCCCGCCCCUGCUGCUCACACCCUGGACAACGAGAGGAGAAGAAACACCUGCACGUGCACCUGGGGUGUGCUUGGGUGAUCUGGCUGGCGGUGCGGUGCCGUGAGGGAAGCUUACGGACUGGAGGUGCAGGCUCCUUCCUGGACCCCAAGCCCACCUAGCUCACUGUCAAAUCUGGGCUUCUGUUCAAAGAGGGGCAAGGAAGCAGAGAUGGGUCCAGGGGAGGGCAAGGCCCACUGGAAGAAGGGGUCCAAGGCUGCACCCCCUGAGCCAUGGGGUCUCCCAGCCACUGGUGUGGUCUCUGGUCUGCAGGAAGCCGCCUGCCCAAGGAGCUUGCUGUGUGGCCCAGGGCCUCUGCCUCAACCGCCCAUCCCAGGGACAAAUGACUGCAGCCUCAACAUCUUUCCACUGAUAAAACCGAGCGGAAGCCCCAGCGGGCAGCAGAGCCUCCUCUCCCAGGCAUUGGUCGGCACCGACUGGAAGGUCCUCGGGUUGCCCUGCCUGCAGGGCUCCCUCUGGCCGGGGCCGCAGCCGGCUGCACCUAGCAGGCUGAGGAUGGAGCUCUGACCUGUCCGGCACGGAGGAGGGUUUACUGAAGAAGGCAGAGCACGGGCUGUUCCUAGGGAUGUAAACAGAUACUCCCCGAGCACUUCCUAUGUGCCAACUCGCUCAGUCUUCACACCCACUGGGCACUUUGAACCUCUUCACAAAGUUGAGUCAGCUGAGGCCGAGAAGGGACGUGCCCAGCAGCGGCCCAGCCUGAGAACGCACGGCCAGGAUUCAAACUCAGUGUCCAGGACCGCACUCUGCCUGGGUCAGAAGAAACCCGGAGAGCAAAAGCGUGGCUGUGAACACAACUUGCAAGGACAGCUCCUUUGCUAGGAGAGUCCACCCAACAGAAAACAGGCCCUGCUUUUCCAGCCCUCUCGAAGGAUCAGGACGUGAAGGGGUGCCUCUGCGCUGAGAGUGGGGAACCCCGUCCUGUGCAGGUAACGCUGCUGGAAGACUGGAUGCUCCUGACAGGACCUUUGCCCCAGGAAGCUCCCAGAGGAGGAAUAAAGGAAACCCAAUCCAGCGGUCUGGAAUAAUAUAAUGGGCAAAAUAUCAGGAAAAGCGUAAAAAGCUACCCGCACAUCAACGUAAUCUUAGCACUAUCGUUGAACAUGUCGCUACUCAAGGUACCGUCUGUGGAGCACCUACCAGGUGCCGGGCUCUGCACCUGAAACUUGCCCCUUGAUGAUCCUGGGGUCCUCACUACCCUGCACCACCAGAGGACAUGCUCUGAGGGGGUUGGGGAGCGGAGGGUCUGGCUCUGAAUGCAGGUCACCUGUCCCCCACGUCGGCACUCCCUACGGUGACCCAGCAGCACCAGGACUGCUGUUCUGACCCGCUCAGGGCUGGAGGAGAGGAGAGGGCAGGGCAGUGGAGCCGAGCAACGUCUCGGUUCAGCGGGACCAGCCCCCUCCGGGGAGCUCGGGCACAGAGGCCGCCGCGGCCGGCGCUGCCGUACCUUUCCUGUCCGUCUCAGUAGCGUGGACCAGUAGGAUGUCACCAGAUCCUCCCCGGACGUCUGGUCCGUCGUCGCCCUGCAAAACCACAGCAAAGGAGGGCGUGGAGCAGAACGCAGCCGUAAGAAAGUCCGCUUAGGGAGUCACAAGCAGGGACGAGAUGACAAAGACACGGUGUUGCAGAGACGCCAGGUCCUCUCUGCCCUGCCCUGCCCUCCCUCACUCCGGGAGCAGCGUGGCCGGGCUGCAGAGGCCAGGUGCGCCCAUCCAGCCCGCCCACCGCGUGGCACAGCGCUCUGAGGUCACCACUGGCUCAGGGGGGCAUGGCUCCAGUCAGUCUUUCCCUGUUCACCAACCCGCGGCUCAGGGCAGAAGAGGGGACGGAGGGAGCCGACGGGGAGGCAGGCAGGACUGGCACCAGCCCUUCCCAGGAUGAUGGUGGAGGCGGCAGACCACUUCCAGGUAUGCGCAUGUUCGCAAAACUGCAGCAAGCUGCCCUAAAUCUAAACCUGCUUCCUCAGGUGGAGGGAAUCACUUGUCACAUCACAUGUUCUUCCAGGGAGCCCUCCUUAGAGGAGUGAAAAGUGUCACAAAGAUGCUCAAUUAUAUCCGAUGUUGCUUACACUGACCGUGGCCUGCCAGUUAAGGGAAAAGUCUUAUUUUCACAUGAGCAAACUGAGGCCUUAACCCAUAAGCCUGGCCUGCAGCCACCGGCCCCAUACGCUGUAAUUCCGAAGGAGACCACGCCCCGCGAGAGCUUCCUCGUGUCUCUAGCUCUUGGAGAUGGAUCUGCCUCUCCAAAGCUUCAAGGUUUUUACGCUGGAAGUGUCUUGGAUUUCCAGCUAAGACAGGGCAGCUCCGCCCAGGACCUGAUUUCUCAGAAGAAAUUUCUGGCAAGAGUCACGAAACAUCAUUCUCUCUGCAGAGGAGCCAGCCCUGCCUUCCCGGUUCCUCUCUGCUGCAGCCUAGCCACGUGUGUGUGUAGAGCACGGCCGCCUCCUCGGCUGGGGUCAAGGCUACCGCUGGGAGCCAUUCCUCCGUGUCCCCAGAACCGCUCGGCAGCAGGGGGCGGGAGGCCCUCUCAGGUCAGCUCCUCUUACUGUGCCGGGUUCGGGCACCACGUUUACCCAUGAGGCUCUCCUGACAAGACAUGGGAUGGAGGCAGCCUCGGUGGCCAGGCCUGGAAUUUCUUAAUUAGCUGUGCUUCCCACGCUGACACUACACUGGGGUCAUUCUGUCAUUAACAACAUAAAAAUACCUUGCACUAGCGAGGGCUUACCACACACGGGCUCCGUGCUGAGCACCCUCGUGGAUUUCGUUCUCACAACACCCUCCAGAGUCCUGUCAUCUGGGGCUUAGAGAGGACAUGUCACUUGCCCAAGAUCACUCUCCAGAGGUGUCAGAGAAGGGGACGGCACACUUCCUCCUGGAAGUCACCCAUGUGCCCAGGGUCUUAGAGCACCCACGGUGGCCCAGGCAUGGGGCCAGGACGAACGGGAUGCCAGAGCCCGCCGCCCAGGAGGGCCACCUGGGGGGGUCAGCACUCGGCUUGGGCCUUUCUGUUUGGGACACCUCCAGGUUCCCUGCUCAAAGCCCCCCACCCUCUUUCUGGGCCAGACCCUGCACACGAAGGCCUGUGAGGAGCCCACCUCUUGCUUGAGCGUCAGCCUUGCCAUAAUUUCAUUGUGGUCAAUGAGGGACAGCUCGUCUACUUCCUCCUCCGACUGAGCCUCUGGAGCAUCUGGUGACUUUGGGGCCCUGGAGAGAGAAAUGGUUUGUGUUGUGUCAACAGACCCUGAGCUCCACGGCUCCCGGGGGCCAAGGUAGCGUGGUCCCGUGCGCGGGGUCUUGUGGUACAGCCGCUCCCCUGAAUGAGUCCUCCCCGGACUGCGGCUCCAGCAAGAAGCCCAGACCCGCUUCCCACCCCUCCACAGGGGGCCCGGGAGGUAGUCAAGAGGCCGGGAUGCAGACAGGGUUUCUAGCUCUGCUCCUGAUAAGCUGUGUGACCUGGGGACAGUCCCUGCUCUCUCCGGACACUCCCUCAGUAAGUGGAAGGGAUUAAGCACGCAGAGCAAGAAGGUUCCACUGAGCAAUUUGAAAAAGUAAUGGUCUCAGUCACCUGUGUCAAGGCCCACAGACCGCCCGGACUGUCAGUACUCAAGGAGAGAAUGGCAAAGGGCCAGUGGGACGGGGGAACAAGCCAGCAUGAUCUCAGUGCCAUCCCCAGGUCUCUCCCCAGGGCCACCUCUCUAGUGGACUGAAGAGGAGCAUGAAGCAGGCCCUUGUCCGUGGGUGCCGGCGGGCAGGUGGGCAGCAGCAUGGGCAGGGGUCCAGCCUGAGCCAAGGGCAGGGAGGGCUUGAAGAUGGGACAGGCAAGCUGAGACUGAAGCGCUGAGUAGGAGUUUGGGUGAAGGGGGAGGAGAGAACCUCCAACAGACGAAGCACAUAGGGAGCCUGCAGCGGGGGACACGAGGCAGAUGGAUGUGGGGUCUACGGGCACUGCGCUUUCCCUGGCAUUUUCUCCCAUAUUCCCAUCAUUCUCGUGAUCGAUCCCGUGAGCCACUGACUGGCCUUGUGGUCGCAGGCUUCAUUUUUAACCCUAAGUAUCUGAGACAUUAAAACCUGGGCCUUUUGGUAAUUCCCUGGCAGUCCAGUGAUUAGACUCCAUGCUUUCACUGCUGAGGGCCUGGGUUCAAUCCCUGGUUGGUGAACUAAGAUCCCACAAGCCACACGGUACGGGCGAAAAAACCCAAGUCAAAACAAAACAAACAAACAAAGCCCCUGGGCCUUCAGUAAGGCAACACGGAUGGGCCAGAGCAAAACCACGCGCAGUCCUGGGACGAAGCCUCAGCUGCACGUCAGCGUCCAGUUGUGGCCUGGCCUUCACGGAAAGAGGACAACAUCCCAGCGACCGCUUCUAGCCAGUCAGCGUGCUCAUCCUUCUGCUUCUUGUGCAGGGGCCACCUGAACUCUGAAAAAUGGCACCCCUGGGUCCAAUGGAGCUGGAGCCCAUGAGCUGCUGUUGUCUGGCACAGACGCCUCUGCCACUACGUGUUAGACCAGAAAACCCAUCACCCCUUAACACUUGGGGAGACCUGAGCCUGGGCCACUGAACCAGACUCCGUGUGGACAGUACUGAGGGGCGGCCAGAGUAGGCUGGGCAGGCAGCCCUUGUCAACAGGCCCCUAGAGAAUGCUUUCUAUUUUUUUUCCUGUCUCUUGCUAUUUUUACCACAUCUUUAACCAUUUAUGUUUAGGCCUGACAAUAGCAAGUGGGUAUUGCUUAGCUCUGUCCCCAGGACUCCAGAAGUAGCCGAACCUUAGCCGAAAGAGGGAGGAAAAGCUUGAAUUUGUGGAGCAUUUCACAAAGAAGGGGAAGUCAACAUGAAGUUGCAGGUGGCAGGGCUGAUUCACAGGUCCUGCACAUUAUCCUUUCUACGUGUGGACUGGAGAAAUUUACUACAUAUUUCUAAAGCCAGGCCGGUUUGACUCAUGCUAAUGUUGAAAAUGUUACCAAAGAUGAAAGAAACAUAUGAAUAAAUGCAGAGAUGACUCCUGAUUGACCCUGGUUCCAAAAAAUAAGCCUUAUAAGACAUAGGGAGAACUAGGGAAAUGGAAGAUCAUUUGCAUAUCAGAUAAUGUAAAGAAUUUAUUACUCUUCUUAGGUGUGAUAAUCAUAUCGUAAUCAGGUAGGCGUCUAAAAUUUUUUAGGAGGCAUGCUGAAAUAUUUAGGGGCUGAGUGUCAUGUCUGUGACUUACUUUCAAAUACACACUACAUACAAUUUACACACUAUCUCUAGAAACUCACAAUAAAAAGUUUGGUGGGGGGGGAAUCUUUUACACUCCUUUAUUACAUUUGAACUUGGAAGAGGCAGAAGGAAGGCUGGCCUAGGAUGUGAGAAGGAAAACACUGUUGUGGGUAACGUGUGAGGUGAAGAGUAUGCGUGGAGAUGCUCAAGAAGCAGAGGCAGCCUGGUGCCAGCAGGAGGGCUUCUGAGGGCUGCAGUUAUCAGUGAUUUUUCUUAUUUUCUUAUACAUUUCUAUACUUUCCAUGUUCUCUACCCUGAGCAUGCAUAAUUUUGAGAAUCAGAAUAAAGGGAAGAGUGUACACACAUAUCUCGGAGAUACUGUGGACUCGGUUCCCAGCCACUGCAAUAAAGCAAAUAACACAAUAAAGUGAUUCACAUGAAUUUUUUUCUUUUCCCAGUGCAUAUAAAAGGCAUACUUAUACUAUACUGUAAUCUG